GAUGAAGAACGUAGCGAAAUGCGAUAAGUAAUGUGAAUUGCAGAAUUCAGUGAAUCAUCGAAUCUUUGAACGCACCUUGCACCCUUUGGCAUUCCGAAGGGUAUGCUCGUUUGAGUGUCAUUGUACUCUCACUCUCCCGAUGCUUUUGGAUCGGGAGUGGUGGACUUGGGUGUUGCUGCUUUGCUGUGGCUCGCCUCAAAUGGAGUAGUGCAACUCUUUGUUGGACAUAGUACGGCGUGAUAAGUGUCUUCGCCGGCGCCUCAUUAUAGAGGGUGGCCGAUCGGGAGCUCUGUGCUUCAAACCGUCUUCGGACAACAUCUGACAACUUGACCUCAAAUCGAGUAGGACUACCCGCUGAACUUAAGCAUAUCAAUAAGCGGAGGA
Molecule: unclassified non-coding RNA, 384 nt
Filed under: soil metagenome
Description: partial contains 5.8S ribosomal RNA, internal transcribed spacer 2, and large subunit ribosomal RNA
Rfam family: 5.8S ribosomal RNA (bases 1-120)
Source: RNAcentral